GAUGAACGCUGGCGGCGUGCCUAAUACAUGCAAGUCGAGCGAACGGACGAGAAGCUUGCUUCUCUGAUGUUAGCGGCGGACGGGUGAGUAACACGUGGAUAACCUACCUAUAAGACUGGGAUAACUUCGGGAAACCGGAGCUAAUACCGGAUGAUAUUUUGAACCGCAUGGUUCAAAAGUGAAAGACGGUCUUGCUGUCACUUAUAGAUGGAUCCGCGCUGCAUUAGCUAGUUGGUAAGGUAACGGCUUACCAAGGCAACGAUGCAUAGCCGACCUGAGAGGGUGAUCGGCCACACUGGAACUGAGACACGGUCCAGACUCCUACGGGAGGCAGCAGUAGGGAAUAUUCCGCAAUGGGCGAAAGCCUGACGGAGCAACGCCGCGUGAGUGAUGAAGGUCUUCGGAUCGUAAAACUCUGUUAUUAGGGAAGAACAUAUGUGUAAGUAACUGUGCACAUCUUGACGGUACCUAAUCAGAAAGCAACGGCUAACUACGUG
This 497-nucleotide ribosomal RNA is filed under the name uncultured bacterium. RNAcentral's name for it is "partial 16S ribosomal RNA". It matches the Rfam family "Bacterial small subunit ribosomal RNA", at positions 28 to 507 of the family's 1533-position model. The record is from RNAcentral.